UACGAAGGGGGCUAGCGUUGCUCGGAAUGACUGGGCGUAAAGGGCGCGUAGGCGGCUUGCACAGUCAGGCGUGAAAUUCCUGGGCUCAACCUGGGGACUGCGCUUGAGACGUGUGGGCUUGAGUGGGGAAGAGGGUCGUGGAAUUCCCAGUGUAGAGGUGAAAUUCGUAGAUAUUGGGAAGAACACCGGUGGCGAAGGCGGCGAGCUGGUCCAUUACUGACGCUGAGGCGCGACAGCGUGGGGAGCAAACAGG
RNAcentral lists this ribosomal RNA (253 nucleotides) under uncultured bacterium. Its description in RNAcentral is "partial 16S ribosomal RNA". It matches the Rfam family "Bacterial small subunit ribosomal RNA", at positions 524 to 776 of the family's 1533-position model. The record is from RNAcentral.